Molecule: ribosomal RNA, 431 nt
Filed under: uncultured bacterium
Lineage: Bacteria
Description: partial 16S ribosomal RNA
Rfam family: Bacterial small subunit ribosomal RNA
Source: RNAcentral
AACGAACGCUGGCGGCAGGCUUAACACAUGCAAGUCGAGCGCCCCGCAAGGGGAGCGGCAGACGGGUGAGUAACGCGUGGGAACGUACCUUUUGGUUCGGAACAACUCCGGGAAACUGGAGCUAAUACCGGAUAAGCCCUAACGGGGAAAGAUUUAUCGCCGAAAGAUCGGCCCGCGUCUGAUUAGCUAGUUGGUGAGGUAACGGCUCACCAAGGCGACGAUCAGUAGCUGGUCUGAGAGGAUGAUCAGCCACACUGGGACUGAGACUCGGCCCAGACUCCUACGGGAGGCAGCAGUGGGGAAUAUUGGACAAUGGGCGCAAGCCUGAUCCAGCCAUGCCGCGUGAGUGAUGAAGGCCUUAGGGUUGUAAAGCUCUUUUGUCCGGGAAGAUAAUGACUGUACCGGAAGAAUAAGCCCCGGCUAACUUCGUG